CGGAGGUCGCGGGUUCAAGUCCCGUCAGGGUCGCAAUUAAGCGGCGAGUUUUUACUCGCCGCUUUUUGCUUUUUCA
Molecule: transfer RNA, 76 nt
Filed under: Corynebacterium pseudotuberculosis
Lineage: Bacteria; Bacillati; Actinomycetota; Actinomycetes; Mycobacteriales; Corynebacteriaceae
Description: tRNA-Glu
Source: RNAcentral